UAACAAACAUGAUAGAGCACUUGGGAG
RNAcentral lists this non-coding RNA (27 nucleotides) under Mus musculus (house mouse). The record is from RNAcentral. Lineage: Eukaryota; Metazoa; Chordata; Mammalia; Rodentia; Muridae.